Molecule: non-coding RNA, 148 nt
Filed under: Callithrix jacchus (white-tufted-ear marmoset)
Lineage: Eukaryota; Metazoa; Chordata; Mammalia; Primates; Cebidae
Source: Rfam by way of RNAcentral
GCUGGGCGUGGUGGUGCGCGCCUAUAAUCCCAGCUACUUGGGAGGCUGAGGCAGGAGAAUCGCUUGAACCUGGGAGGUGGAGGUUGCAGCGAGCUGAGAUUGCACCACUGCACUCCAGCCUGGGUGACAAAGUGAGAUUCUGUCUCAA